RNAcentral lists this ribosomal RNA (394 nucleotides) under uncultured bacterium. Its description in RNAcentral is "bacterial SSU rRNA". It matches the Rfam family "Bacterial small subunit ribosomal RNA", at positions 30 to 426 of the family's 1533-position model. The record is from RNAcentral.
AUUGAACGCUGGCGGCAUGCCUUACACAUGCAAGUCGAACGGCAGCACGGGAGCAAUCCUGGUGGCGAGUGGCGAACGGGUGAGUAAUAUAUCGGAACGUGCCCAGUCGUGGGGAUAACGUAGCGAAAGCUACGCUAAUACCGCAUACGAUCUAUGGAUGAAAGCGGGGGAUCGCAAGACCUCGCGCGAUUGGAGCGGCCGAUAUCAGAUUAGGUAGUUGGUGAGGUAAAGGCUCACCAAGCCGACGAUCUGUAGCUGGUCUGAGAGGACGACCAGCCACACUGGGACUGAGACACGGCCCAGACUCCUACGGAGGCAGCAGUGGGGAAUUUUGGACAAUGGGCGCAAGCCUGAUCCAGCAAUGCCGCGUGCAGGAAGAAGGCCUUCGGGUUGG